UGGUCAGGGUUUGUAGAUUGUCCUUUAUGUAAUGUGUUCACUUGUUUUUUCGAGUCUUUGUUUCAAGAGGGAUUAGCGGAAUCUCCUGCCUAGUCAGCCAUCUUGGUCCUGCCCCCGUGUCUGCCUCUUUAUGUGAUUUGAUAUUGACUGUUGUCUCUGAGCAAUCUAUAAGUUAUUGUAUUAGUUUAUUUUAUGCUUGCUUUUUGUAUCCUAGCUUCUUGCUUUGUUUAGUUUUGGUAUUCCCAAAUAAGCUGCUUGAGUGCGCUAGGUUGAUUAUUUUCACCUUUGAAGCUCUAAUGUACUAUCACCAGAUGGCUAGCAGUGUUACCAGGUAUAUGAGCCUAGGAGUUCAUUUACUUUUUUUGUAUGCAUUCAACUCAGGUGCCCAGGUAGUUGGUCAUAAAGUGUAAGGUACAGGCUCUGUCCUACAGUCUUAGAGGGGCAGGGGUUAUUGGUGUAGGCAGAAGUAUCUGGCUGCAGUAGGGGGUCAGGCUCUGAUCAAGGCAGAGGUCUGACAGCUGUGCUCUGAGUGUCUGUGAGGAAAGCGCAUCCCUGUUCUGUAGAGCACAUGGGUGGGUUCUGCAGAAGGGCAGUGGGUACCCAAUGCUUUUGGUUGUAAGUUCUGGGCGGUACUACUUAUCCUUGGAGCCCUAUCACAGGUGGCUAGGUAUUGUGGGUGGAGCCAGCAGUCCUUAGGCCCCUGAUGUGGGUAGGUGAAGACCCUGUUUAAUAGGCAAAGCAGUGUCAAACAUCAAACACCCAUCUUCCCACCGUUCAGCUGAAACAGUUGCAGUCUGGCAACAAGGGCCUAUUCUCCUGAAAUGGGCCCACACAGGUCCAUGCUGGGGUGAAAGGUAUUCAAAGCCCAUGGACUGUUUGUGCCUGAACAAGAGCUGCUUCUGUCCUGAGCUCCCCAGCUUAAUUGAGCUGGCAGAUUAUCUUUCCCCCAGUUGUGAACUUAUACCUUCUUCAAGGAUGGAAAAAUGGCUCAGAGUGGUACCAGGGCCUAUCUCAGGCCCAGGGAAGUUGACAGCCACUGAAGCCGGCUUGGGGGCUGGGGGCGUGGUAAAAUAAACACAAGUAAUUAGCUUUUGCUGAGAGUGCCGUUCUUCUCUUGUUCUGGAGGUGUGAGUAGUCUGUGCAACUUGCUGUCCUUCCCUGAGCUAAACGCCUCUGGAACGCUACUGCCAGCCCCGCUGCAGUCGCUCCAGGGAACGGUGCCUGAGGGUUCCUGGCUAUUCAGGUCCAGUAACUCCUCUCCACUUCUGAAUAGUCUCUCCCUCCCCCUGCCGCUGAGUCCGUUUUCUAACUUUGCCUUUGAUGCUCAGGGCUCCUAGCUUGUCAUAAAUAUAAUCGCUUCACUUGUUUUUUCUGGUUUUUUUUGUAAGAGGGAUCACUGGUGGUGUCUCAAUACUCAAAACUUCAUCAUUUCUUCCUUUCACUUUAGCUACUCGACAUUCAAGAGCAACGUUCAGAGUCUCUUCCGACAUCCGUUUUGGUCUUUUCUUUCUUUCCUGUCUUUUAAAGGAUCUCUUGCUUUCUUCAUGUGUGAUGUCCUUGAUGUCAUUCCACAACUCGUCUGGUCUUCAGUCGUUAGUGUUCAACACGUAAAAUGUGUUCUUGAGGUGGUCUCUAAAUACAGGUGAGAUAUACUCAAGGUCAUACUUUGGCCCCUUUUGACUUAUUCUAAUUUUCUUCAGUUUCAACUUGAUCUCCCAUAUGAGCAAUUGACACUCUGUUUCACAAUCAAUCCCUGGCCUUGUUCUGACUGAUGAUACGAGUUUUCCCAUCUUCUCUUUCCACAGAUGUAGUCAGUUUGAUUCCUGUGUAUUCCAUCUGGUAAAGUCCACGUGUAUAGCUGCCGUUUAUGUUGGUGAAAAAAAAUAUUUGCAGUGGAUGAGUCACUGGUCUUGCAAAAUUCUUUCAUGAGAUUUCUGGCGUCAUUUAUUUCAGCGAUGCUGUAUUUUCCAACUACUUUUCCUUCUUUGUUUCCAACUUUAACAUUCUAAUGACCAGUAAUUAUCAAUGCAUCUUGAUUGCAUGUUUGAUCAAUUUCAGGCUGCAGAAGUUGUUUAAAAUCUUCAAUUUCUUUAUCUUUGGCAUUAGUGGUUGGUGCAUAAAUUUGAAUAGUCAUAUAAACUGGUCUUCCUUGUAAGUGUAUGGAUUUUAGCCUAUCAGUGACAACAUUGUACUUCAGGCUAGAUCUUGAAAUGUUCUCUUUGAUGAUAUGUAACGUCAUUCUUUUGACUCUGGUGGAAUAUCCAUGUUUGUAAGACUGCUCACAGACUGUUUCACCAGAGAGUUUUCUGGUACUGCAAUAUCUACCACUAAUCUCUGUGAUCCCUGUGAAUUGGCAAAAUAAGAAUAGUGCUAUAGAUUUCUUCCAAAUACAGAAAACAUAAGUAUGAAAAUGUUCUUGCUGUUGAUUAUAUUCUUUACCAAUCUGUUUGUAUGGGAUUUUUGGUACUUCACUUGAAAAAUGAGUCCAAGGUACUGUGAUGUGAUUGUUUACUUUGUGUGGCCUUUCUAGCCAUGGUCUUAUAACAUCUAGCCUGGUACUUGGGCAGGACUGUGUGAUAGGGUAAUUGUGGCUCACCAAGGGGAUUGUUUAUUUUCCCUUCAAAGAGAACCAGUUCCAGAGCAAAGAGGAGGAUUCAACUCCCAUCAAGGAAGAACAGCCAAGAGCCGAGCGUAUAUUAUGGACCUGAGAUCCCUGCACUGAGAAGCUCCUAGAAGCAGGAGACUGAGAUAGAGAGAGGAAGCUGUAACCCUGAAGAUGCUUAAAUACAGACCAGAAGAGGAGUUUGGGGCUUGACACCUGACAUCUUAACACCAGUUCCUGUUUCUUGAGGAAGGAAGAGGUAAAAUAAAUCAACGUUUACUGUUUCCUUCUCCAUCCCCGGAAGUCCUGAUGAAGACCCUCUCAGAGAUGCAGCACACACAGAAUCCCAGCUGGAUUACAGACUUGAACCUGAAGACCUUAUGCAGAAUGACAAUUUAUGAACCACUAAGCUCAGUACUAAAGCAGCUUAAAUACAGACCAGAAGAGGAGUUUGGGGCUUGACACCUGACAUCUUAACACCAGUUCCUGUUUCUUGAGGAAGGAAGAGGUAAAAUAAAUCAGCGUUUACUGUUUCCUUCUCCAUCCCCGGAAGUCCUGAUGAAGACCCUCUCAGCUUCAACUUGAACGUGAAUAUGAGCAACUGAUCAUCUGUUCUGCAGUCAGCCCCUGCCCUGAUUCUGACUCAUGAUAUUGACCAAGUGAAGAGUGAUUCAGAGAAAAACAUGGAUAGAGUGUGACCUAAUUUCCAUAAAAACAAACAAAUGAAUGUACUUACAUGUGUCCCGGCAAAAAGAAGUGUGUAAAAGGGUACAUAUGUAUCUUUGGACACUGGACACUUCAGGGGAGCAGGUACAAUAUACUUAUGUGGGGAUGGCUCUUAUUAUAACUUCUAUAUACAAAUCUCUAUUGUUAAAUGUGUUAUAAGAAUGUAAAAGCUUUUAAAGUUUAAUAACAUCAUACGUGUAUGUGUGUGUAUUUGAAACUUUUUUUCUUUUGACUAUUUUAUA
Molecule: long non-coding RNA, 3570 nt
Organism: Loxodonta africana (African savanna elephant)
Lineage: Eukaryota; Metazoa; Chordata; Mammalia; Proboscidea; Elephantidae
Exons: 5
Source: RefSeq, a predicted model, not a curated record